This 359-nucleotide ribosomal RNA is filed under the name uncultured Alphaproteobacteria bacterium. Its description in RNAcentral is "bacterial SSU rRNA". It matches the Rfam family "Bacterial small subunit ribosomal RNA", at positions 350 to 726 of the family's 1533-position model. Lineage: Bacteria; Pseudomonadati; Pseudomonadota; Alphaproteobacteria. The record is from RNAcentral.
AGCAGUGGGGAAUCUUGGACAAUGGGCGCAAGCCUGAUCCAGCCAUGCCGCGUGAGUGAUGAAGGCCUUAGGGUCGUAAAGCUCUUUCGCCAGAGAUGAUAAUGACAGUAUCUGGUAAAGAAACCCCGGCUAACUCCGUGCCAGCAGCCGCGGUAAUACGGAGGGGGUUAGCGUUGUUCGGAAUUACUGGGCGUAAAGCGUACGUAGGCGGAUUAGUCAGUCAGAGGUGAAAUCCCAGGGCUCAACCCUGGAACUGCCUUUGAUACUGCUAGUCUUGAGUUCGAGAGAGGUGAGUGGAAUUCCAAGUGUAGAGGUGAAAUUCGUAGAUAUUUGGAGGAACACCAGUGGCGAAGGCGACA